This 1114-nucleotide ribosomal RNA is filed under the name uncultured bacterium. RNAcentral's name for it is "bacterial SSU rRNA". It matches the Rfam family "Bacterial small subunit ribosomal RNA", at positions 56 to 1161 of the family's 1533-position model. The record is from RNAcentral.
UGCAGUCGAACGGUAACAGGAAGCAGCUUGCUGCUUUGCUGACGAGUGGCGGACGGGUGAGUAAUGUCUGGGAAACUGCCUGAUGGAGGGGGAUAACUACUGGAAACGGUAGCUAAUACCGCAUAACGUCGCAAGACCAAAGAGGGGGACCUUCGGGCCUCUUGCCAUCGGAUGUGCCCAGAUGGGAUUAGCUAGUAGGUGGGGUAAAGGCUCACCUAGGCGACGAUCCCUAGCUGGUCUGAGAGGAUGACCAGCCACACUGGAACUGAGACACGGUCCAGACUCCUACGGGAGGCAGCAGUGGGGAAUAUUGCACAAUGGGCGCAAGCCUGAUGCAGCCAUGCCGCGUGUAUGAAGAAGGCCUUCGGGUUGUAAAGUACUUUCAGCGGGGAGGAAGGGAGUAAAGUUAAUACCUUUGCUCAUUGACGUUACCCGCAGAAGAAGCACCGGCUAACUCCGUGCCAGCAGCCGCGGUAAUACGGAGGGUGCAAGCGUUAAUCGGAAUUACUGGGCGUAAAGCGCACGCAGGCGGUUUGUUAAGUCAGAUGUGAAAUCCCCGGGCUCAACCUGGGAACUGCAUCUGAUACUGGCAAGCUUGAGUCUCGUAGAGGGGGGUAGAAUUCCAGGUGUAGCGGUGAAAUGCGUAGAGAUCUGGAGGAAUACCGGUGGCGAAGGCGGCCCCCUGGACGAAGACUGACGCUCAGGUGCGAAAGCGUGGGGAGCAAACAGGAUUAGAUACCCUGGUAGUCCACGCCGUAAACGAUGUCGACUUGGAGGUUGUGCCCUUGAGGCGUGGCUUCCGGAGCUAACGCGUUAAGUCGACCGCCUGGGGAGUACGGCCGCAAGGUUAAAACUCAAAUGAAUUGACGGGGGCCCGCACAAGCGGUGGAGCAUGUGGUUUAAUUCGAUGCAACGCGAAGAACCUUACCUGGUCUUGACAUCCACGGAAGUUUUCAGAGAUGAGAAUGUGCCUUCGGGAACCGUGAGACAGGUGCUGCAUGGCUGUCGUCAGCUCGUGUUGUGAAAUGUUGGGUUAAGUCCCGCAACGAGCGCAACCCUUAUCCUUUGUUGCCAGCGGUCCGGCCGGGAACUCAAAGGAGACUGCCAGUGAUAA